RNAcentral lists this ribosomal RNA (119 nucleotides) under Triticum aestivum (bread wheat). Lineage: Eukaryota; Viridiplantae; Streptophyta; Magnoliopsida; Poales; Poaceae. The record is from RNAcentral.
GGAUGCGAUCAUACCAGCACUAAAGCACCGGAUACCAUCAGAACUCCGAAGUUAAGCGUGCUUGGCCGAGAGUAGUACUAGGAUGGGUGACCUCUUGGGAAGUCCUCGUGUUGCAUUCC